This 74-nucleotide transfer RNA is filed under the name Aristida glaziovii. Its description in RNAcentral is "tRNA-Thr". The stretch from base 12 to 72 matches the Rfam family "tRNA", at positions 6 to 65 of the family's 71-position model. Rfam says of the family: Transfer RNA (tRNA) molecules are approximately 80 nucleotides in length. Their secondary structure includes four short double-helical elements and three loops (D, anti-codon, and T loops). The record is from RNAcentral. Lineage: Eukaryota; Viridiplantae; Streptophyta; Magnoliopsida; Poales; Poaceae.
CUUUUCACUUAUUUCACUUAGUAGUAGAGUAAUGCCAUGUUAAGACAGAAGUCAUCGGUUCGAAUCCGAUAAGG